GGGUUGUGAGGUUAAGCGACUAAGCGUACACGGUGGAUGCCCUGGCAGUCAGAGGCGAUGAAGGACGUGCUAAUCUGCGAUAAGCGUCGGUAAGGUGAUAUGAACCGUUAUAACCGGCGAUUUCCGAAUGGGGAAACCCAGUGUGUUUCGACACACUAUCAUUAACUGAAUCCAUAGGUUAAUGAGGCGAACCGGGGGAACUGAAACAUCUAAGUACCCCGAGGAAAAGAAAUCAACCGAGAUUCCCCCAGUAGCGGCGAGCGAACGGGGAGCAGCCCAGAGCCUGAAUCAGUGUGUGUGUUAGUGGAAGCGUCUGGAAAGGCGCGCGAUACAGGGUGACAGCCCCGUACACAAAAAUGCACAUGCUGUGAGCUCGAUGAGUAGGGCGGGACACGUGGUAUCCUGUCUGAAUAUGGGGGGACCAUCCUCCAAGGCUAAAUACUCCUGACUGACCGAUAGUGAACCAGUACCGUGAGGGAAAGGCGAAAAGAACCCCGGCGAGGGGAGUGAAAAAGAACCUGAAACCGUGUACGUACAAGCAGUGGGAGCACGCUUAGGCGUGUGACUGCGUACCUUUUGUAUAAUGGGUCAGCGACUUAUAUUCUGUAGCAAGGUUAACCGAAUAGGGGAGCCGAAGGGAAACCGAGUCUUAACUGGGCGUUAAGUUGCAGGGUAUAGACCCGAAACCCGGUGAUCUAGCCAUGGGCAGGUUGAAGGUUGGGUAACACUAACUGGAGGACCGAACCGACUAAUGUUGAAAAAUUAGCGGAUGACUUGUGGCUGGGGGUGAAAGGCCAAUCAAACCGGGAGAUAGCUGGUUCUCCCCGAAAGCUAUUUAGGUAGCGCCUCGUGAAUUCAUCUCCGGGGGUAGAGCACUGUUUCGGCAAGGGGGUCAUCCCGACUUACCAACCCGAUGCAAACUGCGAAUACCGGAGAAUGUUAUCACGGGAGACACACGGCGGGUGCUAACGUCCGUCGUGAAGAGGGAAACAACCCAGACCGCCAGCUAAGGUCCCAAAGUCAUGGUUAAGUGGGAAACGAUGUGGGAAGGCCCAGACAGCCAGGAUGUUGGCUUAGAAGCAGCCAUCAUUUAAAGAAAGCGUAAUAGCUCACUGGUCGAGUCGGCCUGCGCGGAAGAUGUAACGGGGCUAAACCAUGCACCGAAGCUGCGGCAGCGACGCUUAUGCGUUGUUGGGUAGGGGAGCGUUCUGUAAGCCUGUGAAGGUGUGCUGUGAGGCAUGCUGGAGGUAUCAGAAGUGCGAAUGCUGACAUAAGUAACGAUAAAGCGGGUGAAAAGCCCGCUCGCCGGAAGACCAAGGGUUCCUGUCCAACGUUAAUCGGGGCAGGGUGAGUCGACCCCUAAGGCGAGGCCGAAAGGCGUAGUCGAUGGGAAACAGGUUAAUAUUCCUGUACUUGGUGUUACUGCGAAGGGGGGACGGAGAAGGCUAUGUUGGCCGGGCGACGGUUGUCCCGGUUUAAGCGUGUAGGCUGGUUUUCCAGGCAAAUCCGGAAAAUCAAGGCUGAGGCGUGAUGACGAGGCACUACGGUGCUGAAGCAACAAAUGCCCUGCUUCCAGGAAAAGCCUCUAAGCAUCAGGUAACAUCAAAUCGUACCCCAAACCGACACAGGUGGUCAGGUAGAGAAUACCAAGGCGCUUGAGAGAACUCGGGUGAAGGAACUAGGCAAAAUGGUGCCGUAACUUCGGGAGAAGGCACGCUGAUAUGUAGGUGAAGCGACUUGCUCGUGGAGCUGAAAUCAGUCGAAGAUACCAGCUGGCUGCAACUGUUUAUUAAAAACACAGCACUGUGCAAACACGAAAGUGGACGUAUACGGUGUGACGCCUGCCCGGUGCCGGAAGGUUAAUUGAUGGGGUUAGCCGCAAGGCGAAGCUCUUGAUCGAAGCCCCGGUAAACGGCGGCCGUAACUAUAACGGUCCUAAGGUAGCGAAAUUCCUUGUCGGGUAAGUUCCGACCUGCACGAAUGGCGUAAUGAUGGCCAGGCUGUCUCCACCCGAGACUCAGUGAAAUUGAACUCGCUGUGAAGAUGCAGUGUACCCGCGGCAAGACGGAAAGACCCCGUGAACCUUUACUAUAGCUUGACACUGAACAUUGAGCCUUGAUGUGUAGGAUAGGUGGGAGGCUUUGAAGUGUGGACGCCAGUCUGCAUGGAGCCGACCUUGAAAUACCACCCUUUAAUGUUUGAUGUUCUAACGUUGACCCGUAAUCCGGGUUGCGGACAGUGUCUGGUGGGUAGUUUGACUGGGGCGGUCUCCUCCUAAAGAGUAACGGAGGAGCACGAAGGUUGGCUAAUCCUGGUCGGACAUCAGGAGGUUAGUGCAAUGGCAUAAGCCAGCUUGACUGCGAGCGUGACGGCGCGAGCAGGUGCGAAAGCAGGUCAUAGUGAUCCGGUGGUUCUGAAUGGAAGGGCCAUCGCUCAACGGAUAAAAGGUACUCCGGGGAUAACAGGCUGAUACCGCCCAAGAGUUCAUAUCGACGGCGGUGUUUGGCACCUCGAUGUCGGCUCAUCACAUCCUGGGGCUGAAGUAGGUCCCAAGGGUAUGGCUGUUCGCCAUUUAAAGUGGUACGCGAGCUGGGUUUAGAACGUCGUGAGACAGUUCGGUCCCUAUCUGCCGUGGGCGCUGGAGAACUGAGGGGGGCUGCUCCUAGUACGAGAGGACCGGAGUGGACGCAUCACUGGUGUUCGGGUUGUCAUGCCAAUGGCACUGCCCGGUAGCUAAAUGCGGAAGAGAUAAGUGCUGAAAGCAUCUAAGCACGAAACUUGCCCCGAGAUGAGUUCUCCCUGACCCUUUAAGGGUCCUGAAGGAACGUUGAAGACGACGACGUUGAUAGGCCGGGUGUGUAAGCGCAGCGAUGCGUUGAGCUAACCGGUACUAAUGAACCGUGAGGCUUAACCUUACAACGCCGAAG
RNAcentral lists this ribosomal RNA (2927 nucleotides) under Escherichia coli. Its description in RNAcentral is "partial 23S ribosomal RNA". It matches the Rfam family "Bacterial large subunit ribosomal RNA". The record is from RNAcentral. Lineage: Bacteria; Pseudomonadati; Pseudomonadota; Gammaproteobacteria; Enterobacterales; Enterobacteriaceae.